UGUUGACUCCCUCCUUCUCUGCUCCAUCAGUCGGCUGGGCUCUGGGCUGUUGACUCUCUCCUUCCCUCCUUCCUGCUCCAUCAGUCGGCUGGGCUCUGGGCUGUUGACUCUCUCCUUCCCUCCUUCCUGCUCCAUCAGUCGGCUGGGCUCUGGGCUGUUGACUCUCUCCUUCCUCCUUCUCUGCUCCAUCAGUCGGCUGGGCUCUGGGCUGUUGACUCUCUCCUUCCCUCCUUCCUGCUCCAUCAGUCGGCUGGGCUCUGGGCUGUUGACUCUCUCCUUCCCUCCUUCCUGCUCCAUCAGUCGGCUGGGCUCUGGGCUGUUGACUCUCUCCUUCCCUCCUUCCUGCUCCAUCAGUCGGCUGGGCUCUGGGCUGUUGACUCUCUCCUUCCCUCCUUCUCUGCUCCAUCAGUCGGCUGGGCUCUGGGCUGUUGACUCCCUCCUUCCCUCCUUCCUGCUCCUCGGCUGGGCUCUGGGCUGUUGACUCUCUCCUUCUCUGCUCCAUCAGUCAGCUCGGCUCUGGGCUGUUGACUCUCUCCUUCUCUGCUCCGUCAGUCAGCUCGGCUCUGGGCUGUUGACUCCCUCCUUCCCUGCUCCAUCAGUCGGCUGGGCUCUGGGCUGUUGACUCCCUCCUUCCCUCCUGUCCUUGGAGGAGGUCCAGUGUUGCCGAGUCCCAAGAAGAGAGAUACAGAGAAACCUGCUUCCAGAAAUAUAACAUAAAUAUCCACACACACACACAUACACACACACACACACACACACACACACACACACACACACACACACACACACACACACACACACACACACACACCACAAUAGUACAUUCUCUUUAUAUAAUCACUGUUCACUGCCAGGUGGUGUUAGUUACAAG
This is a long non-coding RNA of Oncorhynchus tshawytscha (Chinook salmon), 871 nucleotides long. The record is from Ensembl. NCBI's taxonomy places the organism in Eukaryota, Metazoa, Chordata, Actinopteri, Salmoniformes, Salmonidae.